RNAcentral lists this long non-coding RNA (994 nucleotides) under Phasianus colchicus (ring-necked pheasant). RNAcentral describes it as "lncRNA (ENSPCLG00000021174.1)". The record is from RNAcentral. Lineage: Eukaryota; Metazoa; Chordata; Aves; Galliformes; Phasianidae.
UCCACUGUUAGGCCAGCCAAGCUCCUCGGGCGGGAUCAACAGAGCAGUGAGGGCUCCCCAGUGCUUCCCGCCGGCUCUCUCCCCAUAAGAGAAGGGCUCUGGGUCAGCGCUGCUCCAGGCGGUUGGGACCUUCCAGCACUGGGGCCAGGCACAGUGCCUGCCUGGGUGACCCGUACCUCAGCCAGAGCAAGAGAAGCAAAUUUUGGGAGCAUGAUCGUUGUGAUACCCUCAGUGAUUUCUCUUUCAAUACAUUCUCUUCAGGGCUGUGAUUGUAACUGAUCAGUGAAAGAAAAAAUUUCAAAAGAAAAAGGAAACUGAAGAAAUUAAUUGUACCAGAGCAGAAUCCAGCGAAGGUAAUACAGUGAUCUUAAAUAAUUUUCCUGUUAUAAAUUAAAGUUCAUGACAAUAACAUGAAGCAGAUUAGCUUUAAUAGAAUUUCCUUCCUUUCCUUCCUACAAAUAUCAUUUUAUAGAUACGUAUAAAACCUUUGCUGUGAUUACUUUCUGUUGGGAUUAUUGCAGUUUGGGUAGCCCUUAUUGUUUCCAUGAAGCUUUAGAAUAGAUUGAAAGAUCAAAAUACAAGUUAUUCUCUUGUUAUGCCUAGUAAAUAUGUUUCACAAAUACAUGUACUGCUAUAUUUAUAUUACUAGUAUAUUUAUCGAACAAAUACAUUUACUAGUAAAUGAGUAUACUAGAUCAAGUCCUUGUGAAAUGUGGAAUGCCUCUUCUAUUUACAAAUAAGAAAAAAGAAAAAGAGAAGCCAUUUUAUAGCACUUACUAGAAUCAUUCAGUAAAUUAAAUAUGCAGUCUACAUACUUAUUUCUGAUACUAGGAGAAAUGUACUUUGAGGUUUGCCUUACUUAUUCUCUCAAGCGUCAGCAGAAAAUAAUUACAAUAAUUACUUUUGAAUGCUGAAGCGUUGUGUAUGAUGUGAAAGCAGGUUUAAAACAUACUGCUCUACAAUAAAAAGGAGUUGACACUAUUUUUAAAAUGCA